Long non-coding RNA from Mauremys mutica (yellowpond turtle), 391 nucleotides. RefSeq lists it as uncharacterized. Lineage: Eukaryota; Metazoa; Chordata; Testudines; Geoemydidae. The record is from RefSeq and is a predicted model, not a curated record. The transcript is spliced from 3 exons.
CGUGAUCUGAAAAAGAAUCCAGCUGCCGCUCCUGUGACAGUAUGGACUCUUCAGGGAAAACAGGCAUGAAACCGUAAGGGACCAAGCACAGGAGCAGAUGUGGCCACAUUCAAAUUAUUUCUCAGCAGUUUCCUUGGAAUUGCAUUGUGUAUCAUGGCUUAACAUAAUCGGAUGGGAAGCGUUUUCACUUAAUAUCUGAACAAGUAACACUGCAAAGACAAGAGGAUUUUAAUCAUCAAUAACCACGCCUCCACCAGCCUGGGAAGCAGAAUCCUUCACCUGAGUUUGUUUCUGGUUCCACCGCUGAGCACAACAGAGCACAAUUUAUUUCCAUGGAACGUCAUUGGUUCAACAGUAUCGCAGAGGUUUCAUAGCCAAUCGCACAUGGCAU